Molecule: long non-coding RNA, 609 nt
Filed under: Vigna radiata
Lineage: Eukaryota; Viridiplantae; Streptophyta; Magnoliopsida; Fabales; Fabaceae
Description: long non-coding RNA (VRAD_LNC011502)
Source: RNAcentral
GUAGGACGAUCAAUUGUUUUUCUUCUGUUCUUAAUGCAUUAUUAAUUGUUAGGGGAGGCUAGGGAUAGCAAGCCGGCAAUUAGUAAUAGGCUCUUUUCGCCGAGGGAUCGAGUUAAGGGUAGGCCAAGAAAGUUUGCAUAACAAUUAGACAAUCAAGCACAUUAAACAAGAGGAGUAGAUAAGAGGAAGCGAAUAAGAUGAAAUUGUCAACCCCUAACAACUUCAUUCAUCCAUAGUCUUUUUCGUCAAUUGAAUAAACCACAUUGCAUGUUUAUUUUCUGUCUUUGCAUUCACAACAAUUAAUUCUUUCUUUACAAGUCUUACGAUUUUGAUUCACACGAACGAUAAACGCCUUUCGAGUCUCUUGGGAAGAACGAUAUCAGGCAUUACCGAUUAUAUUACUUGCACGAUCUAGUACACAUGCCAGUGAGUUAACAAGUUUUUGGCGCCGUUGCCGAGGACUCGAGGUUAUUUUUAGUAGUGUGAAUUAUUUGACAUUUGACUUGUUUGUAAUUAUUUGUUUUUAUUCUGUUCUGUUUAAUUUUGUUUAAUUUUCUGUAAAAGUGCUUUUAGGGUGUGUUUCUUGUGUAUGCAGGAAACAAUACACAC